Molecule: long non-coding RNA, 697 nt
Organism: Ruditapes philippinarum (Manila clam)
Lineage: Eukaryota; Metazoa; Mollusca; Bivalvia; Venerida; Veneridae
Exons: 2
Source: RefSeq, a predicted model, not a curated record
GUUGGUUUUUAGCUCACCUGUCACAAAGUGACAGGGUGAGCUUUUGUGAUCGCUUUUCGUCCGGCGUACGUCCGGCGUUCGUCCGUCCGUCCGUCCGUAAACUUUUGCUUUAAAUGACAUCUUCUCAUAAACCACUGAGCCAAUUUCAUCCAAACUUCACAGGAAUGUUCCUUUGGUGGUCACCUUUAAAAAUUGUUCAAAGAAUUUAAUUCCAUGCAGAACUCUGGUUGCCAUGGCAACCAAAAGAAAAAACUUUAAAUAUCUUCUUUUAAAAAACCAUAAGAGCUAGAGCUUAGAUAUUUGGCAUGAAACAUCUUCUAGUGAGUGUCUACCAAGUUUGUUCAAAUAAAAGCUCUGGGGUCAAAAUUGGCCCCGCCCCAGGGGGGUCAUUGAUUUUCCUUAUAUGUGUAUAGCAAAAACUUAAAAAUCUUCUUUGGAAAAACCCAAAUAGCUAGAGUUUAGAUAUUAAGCAUGAAACAUCUUUAAGUAAAUAUCUACAAAGUUUGUUAAAAUAAAUGCCCGGGGGUCAAAACUUGCCCUGCCCCAGGGUGACAUUGUUUUUAACUAUAUGUGUAUAGUAAAAACUUUAAAAAUCUUCUUUUAAAAAUGCCAAUGAGCUAGAACUUAGAUGUUUAGCAUGAAACAUCUUCUUAUGGGUGUCUACCAAGUCUGUUCAAAUAAACAAAUAAAAGCCCUU